Molecule: non-coding RNA, 586 nt
Organism: Piliocolobus tephrosceles (Ugandan red Colobus)
Lineage: Eukaryota; Metazoa; Chordata; Mammalia; Primates; Cercopithecidae
Source: the annotation of a RefSeq genome assembly
AGCCCUUCACUGGAAACCACAGAUCUCCUCCAGCAGCAGCCCCUGACUCUGCUGAUUUGCAUCACAGGCCGCUCUCUCCAGCAGGGGGAUAAGAGGCCUGGGAGGAACCUGCCCAGCCUGGGCCUCAGGAGGCAGCAUUGGCGGUGUCUCAGCCAUGGCCUGGAUUCUUCUCCUCCUCGGCCUCCUUGCUCACUGCACAGGCUUUGCGGCCUCCUAUGAGCUGACUCAGCCACGCUCAGUGUCCGUGUCCCCAGGACAGACGGCCAGGAUCACCUGUGGGGGAGACAACAUUGGAAGUAAAAAUGUGUACUGGUACCAGCAGAAGCCAGCGCAGGCCCCUGUGCUGGUCAUCUAUGAUGAUAGCGAACGGCCCUCAGGGAUCCCUGAGCGAUUCUCUGGCUCCAACUCAGGGAACACUGCCACCCUGACCAUCAGUGGAGUCGAGGCCGGGGAUGAGGCCGACUAUUACUGUCAGGUGUGGGACAGUAGUAGUGAUCAUCCCACAGUGACACAGGCAGAUGGGGAAGUGACACAAAAACACCCUGCCAGCCUCUGUCACUCUCUUGCUGCAGCCCCAGGAGGAUAA